CAGUAGCCACGGUAAUACGGAGGGUGCAAGCGUUAAUCGGAAUUACUGGGCGUAAAGCGUGCGUAGGCGGUUCGUUAAGUCUGUUGUGAAAGCCCCGGGCUCAACCUGGGAAUGGCAAUGGAUACUGGCGAGCUAGAGUGUGUCAGAGGAUGGUGGAAUUCCCGGUGUAGCGGUGAAAUGCGUAGAGAUGCGGAGGAACACCAGUGGCGAAGGCGACUCUCUGGUCUGCAACUGACGCUGAGGAGCGAAAGCGUGGGGAGCGAACAGGAUUAGAUACCCCAGUAGUCCCUGUCUCUUAUAA
RNAcentral lists this ribosomal RNA (301 nucleotides) under uncultured bacterium. RNAcentral's name for it is "partial 16S ribosomal RNA". It matches the Rfam family "Bacterial small subunit ribosomal RNA", at positions 509 to 809 of the family's 1533-position model. The record is from RNAcentral.